RNAcentral lists this ribosomal RNA (431 nucleotides) under uncultured bacterium. Its description in RNAcentral is "partial 16S ribosomal RNA". It matches the Rfam family "Bacterial small subunit ribosomal RNA", at positions 29 to 505 of the family's 1533-position model. The record is from RNAcentral.
AACGAACGCUGGCGGCAUGCCUAACACAUGCAAGUCGAACGAAGGCUUCGGCCUUAGUGGCGCACGGGUGCGUAACGCGUGGGAAUCUGCCCUUUGCUUCGGAAUAACAGUUAGAAAUGACUGCUAAUACCGGAUGAUGUCGCAAGACCAAAGAUUUAUCGGCAAAGGAUGAGCCCGCGUAGGAUUAGCUAGUUGGUGGGGUAAAGGCCUACCAAGGCGACGAUCCUUAGCUGGUCUGAGAGGAUGAUCAGCCACACUGGGACUGAGACACGGCCCAGACUCCUACGGGAGGCAGCAGUGGGGAAUAUUGGACAAUGGGCGAAAGCCUGAUCCAGCAAUGCCGCGUGAGUGAUGAAGGCCUUAGGGUUGUAAAGCUCUUUUACCCGGGAUGAUAAUGACAGUACCGGGAGAAGAAGCUCCGGCGAACUCCG